AGCGUUUGGUUCGUCGUGCGGGUGUAGCUCUCUAGAACCUAUCUAUAUCUGUACAAUUCCUAGCGGUACCAACUCUGCAGAGAUCCAAUUCGGUUCUUGGGAUUCUCUAGACAGCGUGCUUUAUUUUUUGUCGCAUUCAACUUGCAAUUUAUGUGGCUAAUUAGAACAAAAGAAGGCGGCGGCAGUGGACCAUUAGUGCGUGACUCUCGAAUGCUGUGAGUGCUGCGCAUCCGUCAGGUUGCGUGUGCCGCGCCCCUUCCGCCCACCAAAAAAGAAGCAAAAGCCAUAAGACAACGUGCCGGAAAACAAAAAAUAAUAAUACACUUCGGUUAUCAAAACACUUGAAAAGAACUGGAAAAAGGCAACCCAAAAAUCUGCAGUGCAAAAAACAAAAAAAAACGGGAAACGGGAAAAAGGAAUUGAAAUUUAGGGCAAAAGCGGAUUACGGGGAAAGCAAAAACAUCCGAAAGCGGAAAAUAAAUCCAAGUGUGCGGGAAAAACAAGAGAACUGAAAAGUGAAUUGCGGAAAAUUGAGAAUUGAGAAAAUGCGUAGAGCAGAUAGACCCAAGUAAAUCAUAUGGAAAUGUGAACGCGUCACGCUGCCUCAUUAACGUUUUCGGCCACCUCUCGGCCGCUUCUCCAUUACCGUUGCGUGCGGAUCAUCAAUUAAUUCCAGUCAGUUUUCGCACUUUAAGCGCCAAAAAAGCAGCAAUCGAGAAAAAAUUGCAAUCGUACAAAGAAAGAGCAGAAAUUAAUGACACAAUAACGCACUGCGGUUUCGUUUGUAGUGGUCAUCGUGUAUCUGUAUUUGUGUACGGGAUCGUUGAGUGUGUGUGAGUGUGUGUUGUUUCGCAGCUCCAAAGUGUGAGCAACAGUUCAGUUUGAAUAUAUAUAUAGCCAUAUAUGUAUAGACCACCCCCUCUGAUUCUGAACGGAUCGGUCGCGUGGCAUACCAUUUAUCACAAUUGUCAUCGUGAGGAGUGAAAGUGCAUGGAGUCAUCCAGCAGAUACAAAUUGUUUAUGCAGACAUCUUCCCGAAUACGGGUCAGUGCAUUAGAACAAUAGCUGCGAGCUGCAAAAGUUUUGCCUGCCGCCUCUGUUGGCUAAGCAAAAACAUAAAUUAAACUUACCAGUUCCCAGUUACCAGUUACCAGUUGCCAGUCGGAGGAAGGCCUUGAAAGUUCCUCUGCCUUUUGGAUUAGCAAAACGAGAGGAAAACACUAAAAAGCCGGGGAUUCCCCACAAACACUACGCCAGAAAAAGUGAAACGAGAAUGUCCAUAAAAGGCGAAAUAAACAUGUAAAAGCACAUUAAGCGAUGCUACGGACUUGAUCUGAGUCACAUGGACAUGCAUUUGUAAAUGUCGGCGGAAAUGCUCUUUUUAUGGGCCAAGAGUACAUUGGCGCUUCAUUAAAGCCAACGGCGGAAGCGGAAAUAGCCGAGCGGCCAUAACAAGAAAGACGCGUGUUCUUCUCUCUAUUUUUUUCUGUUGGCGCCGCCAGGUCACGCAAUUGCCAACUGCAGUUGGCCUGCGAAAUUGCAACAUUCUGUACUCCUUUUGCACUUCUUUGGGGUUUCUUUGACACUUUGGUCAAAUUGAAGUUCGCCACAUAAAUGACGAGACGUUCUCGCGUUUGGCACAACGCACCGCAAGCACAACAAAAUGACAGCCAUGCAGCUUUUAUUGCCAACAGGCGGAGUACCAACAGCAACAGUGGAAACCGAAACAACAGCCAUGCAAACGACAUAUUGGCAGGAGAAAUCCUCCAACAGCAAAAACAACUUCAACACACAUCGAAAAUCACGGACGAGAUGCCCGGACAAUGGGAAAACGAUUUGGGCUGUCGGCUUGACGAUGGUCCUGCUGACUUGCCUGCAGCAGCUAAAAUCGGUUUCGGCGGACGAGGAGUCGCAGGAUUUUCAAAAGAACAUACCCGCUCGAUUGGUUUGGGCCGCCUUGGGCAAAACCGUGGAGCUGCCCUGCGACUUGACGCCACCCACGUCACAGGAUUCGGUGAAGCUGCUGCUAUGGUUCAAGGACACCACGGGCAUUCCUCUGUACAGCCUGGACUCGCGGGGCGGAAACGUGAAAUUGGCGCCACAUGCGGCCAUAGCUAGCGAUCUGGGGCAACGUCUGUUCUUCAGCAUCGGCGAUAAUCCAAAGGAUUCCCGCCUGCAGAUCAACGAUGUGAAGCCGGAGGAUGGCGGCGUCUAUCGGUGUCGCGUCGACUUCUUCAACUCCCCGACACGCAACUUCAGGCACAACCUGACCUUAGUUGUGCCUCCCGAGGAGCCGCGCAUCUUCGAUGCCCAGGGCAAGGAGAUAGCCCAGAUGGCAGGACCGUUCCGAGAGGGCUAUGAGCUCUUCCUCUGCUGUCAAGUGAGGGGAGGACGUCCCCCGCCCAAAGUCACCUGGUGGCGCGAUGACACCGAGCUAAUCGGCACCAGCCACACAUCCGUGGAGGAGGGCACCCCCGUGAUGGUUAAUCAGCUGCUGAUUGGAACCACCACGCGGGACUUUUACGGAAUUCGCAUUGAGUGCCGGGCACAGGGAACGAGACUGGUGGAACCGGUCCGCAAGGAUGUCACCGUGCAGGUUUACUUAAAACCUGUCCGCGUGAAAAUCGCAACGCCCAACGACUUGCUGACCGCCGGACAUCCCGUGCCUAUUCGCUGCGACUCCUGGGGCUCAUAUCCUGCGGCCAAGAUCACCUGGCUGCUGGAUGGCGAGCCCAUCCGGAAUGCCGAGGUCACCGUGCACAGCGACAAGGAGGACGGCAAUAUCACCACCAGCAUCCUGACAUUGAAGGUAACAUCUGAGAACGAUAAUGCCGAGCUGACGUGUCGCGCCACGAAUCCCUGGUUCUCCGGUGGCGCCAUCGAGGACAAGCGCAUCAUCCGAGUGGCAUAUCCACCCACAGUAUCGGUGCACUUGGCCAAUGAGGAUCCCAGCCGACUGGUGACCAGGGCCGAGGGACAGAAUGUCACUUUCAAAUGCCGGGCGGAUGCCAGACCGCCGGUUACCAGCUACUCCUGGUUCAAGAAUGGCAUGCGAAUGUCGGGCGAGAGCACGGAAAUAAUGCACUUGACGCAGCUCGAGAGGGAAAGUGCGGGGGCGUAUGCCUGCGGGGCCACAAAUACGGAGGGCGAAACCCGGAGUUCGAGCCUCACUUUAAAAGUGCAGUUUUCCCCGCGCUGUAAAUCGGGCACCGAACAAACCUCCAUUGGAGCCGUCAGUCUUCACUCUAUCCUGGUCAAAUGCGAGGUGGAUGCUGAUCCACCGGACUCCGUGCGCUUCAGUUGGACGUACAACAAUACCAGGAAUGUGUCUCCGGUGCUCAACUCAAGGAUACAAUCGAACGGACUGGCCAGCACGGUGACGUAUCUGCCGCAGACGGACUCCGAGUUAAUAACGCUGGCCUGCUGGGCCAGCAAUGCGGUGGGCCGCCAAACGACGCCCUGUCUGGUGCACAUCCUGCCGGCAAACACUCCGGAGGCACCAAAGGCCUGCGAGUUGCGCAACGACACUGUCCUGGAGGUGGUUUGUGUGGCAGGCAGUGACGGCGGCCUUUCGCAAUACUUCAUGCUGGAGGUGGUGGGCGGCGACCCGCUGUACGCCGGUGAUCCAGGUGGAUCGGUGGGACAAGGACGAGGUCAGUUCAGCGAGGCUAUUGGCCUGGGCGACAACGAGAUAUCCACUCUGAAUGAUCAGGCGACAUCUGCACCCAUCUUCCGCAUGCAGGAGAACAGUCCACAGUUUCGUUUGAAUAAUUUAGAGCCGGGACGUGAAUAUCAAUUUUUAGUUUACGCCGUCAACGCCAAAGGACGAAGCGAGCCGCCGGUGGUGAUUGAGAAUGUACGCGUGGCCGCCCAACUGGGACCAUAUGAUGAAUCCAUUCUGUCCGAGGACCCAACGCCCGCAGAAACAACGCAUCAUGGAGGCGGUGGCGUGGGCGGGAGCGGAAGCUCCAGCGGUCUGGGCACCGGCGCCAGCACGGGCAGCGGUCCGGAGAAGCAGUCGACGCUGCUGAUACUAGCCGCCGUCGUGGUGAUAGGCGCCGUUGUGGUGACGUCAAUUAUCGUAGCCGGCAUCGUCGUGGUCUGCCGGCACCGGCCGCGACCACCUGAGCCGCAGGAGGUGCGCAAGAGCAUGCGGCCUGCGAGAAACGAUGUGCCAAGCAUGUACAUCGAGGAGGACGAGCUGAACGAGCUGGAGGAGGGAGGCGGACGAGCGGCGGAUAUUAGGGCACGAGUGGCCCCGCCCAAUGCCCACCUGUGCGGCGGCGGUGGAAUGCCGAUGCCUGGAGGAGUGGGGUCAAGUGGCGGUGCCAUUGUGGGUGUGGCCGGACCCCAUCACUACAUCUCCGAGAGCUUCAUCCAGUAUGCGCAGCCCAGCCUAAACGGCGACGUGCUGCUGCCCCUGCUCGUAACAUCCAGCCAGCCUUGCACCACCAACUCCACCAUCUCGAGCAUGGUCCUGGCCAUGCCACAGGCGAAACUAUGUCCUGAUCCUGCGAGCCGUAACACUGCCUGGCCGCCCGAAUGUAUGCAAAGUAAAUUUUAUGUAACUAAAUCUGUGCAGCAGGUCGAACGACUACGCACACAGGACCAAAACCAGAAACAGACAAAGAUACAGAUACUGAAACAGGAACAACUGCAGUUGCAACUGCAGCAGAUGGGCAGUCAUGUCUAAGCUGAGUUCUCUCUACUGUCGAAUUUGGCAGUGGGAAAAGGCGGGGUAGUAUGGUGGAUUUGCUCCACUCCUCUCAAACCCGGAUCUGAUAUUGCCGCGCGGCGAAUUGGAAUUUACGACCCUGGAUCCAACGCUGAAGUAAUUGUAAAAAGUAAUAAUAAAUAUCUACCAUAGUCAGCCACACACACACAUACAAGCACACACACACACACACAAAGGCCUCAUAAUUCACGGGCAUUUCAUUUAACAUAGCUGUAAAUUUUUAGCAUAAAUUUAAAUGCAUUAGCGUAAAAAGGUAACUCGUAUUGCGUAAUGUUUAAGCGGAAAGAGAUAAAGUUAAGCCAUUUUGUAAUUGUCAGAGCCAUUAAGUGUCAUACGAACUGCAAAUUGCGAAUGCAAAAUCAAAAUGUUAAGAACCCAAAAGCUGCGCUAUAAAUACGCUACAAACUUGUAACUGAAAUCAAAAUAUAAAACUUGUAAAUAAAACAAAUACAAAACAAAACACAAACUACAAUACACUACACUACAUAGACACUCAUUUUGCUGUUGCACCAUCCACUGUACAUAGAGAACGGGCAAACAUUAAUCAAACUGCAUUUAAAUGUUAAAUAUUAAUUGUAAUUAAUGAACAACUAGCCCGUAAGCCAGCGUAGUUAAGUAAGCUGUGUGUAUUGAAAGUGUAAUUAGACUCAUAGAGCCAACUAAGAGUUAUUGGCCAACAGAUACGAGUGCUGUACAAGGUAUCUAUCUAUCUGCCGCCUCGGAUGUGUGCAACUAUCUGGGCGUUGAGCCAAUCGAAGAGCCGUUCAUCAAAUAAUGUCUGCAUAGCGAUAUAGGAUUCAUUAGCAUUAGUUAAGGCCCCAACCAGUUGCUGUCCGGCAAAAUUAAAAUGUUUCAAACUCGAGCUCUUAAACUUUCCUGGGAUCCAGGCCCACACUUUUCCGAUCUGAACUGACAUUUUUCGUCGCUAUUUAUGGCAAUUCCAUGAAUAUUCUAUUACCACAAUAAGCCGAACCGUACAGAAACGUAACGGCAAAGAUGAAUAACAACCGAAAAACAAACAACAGCCAACAGCCAAGUGGGCGAUGUUCGAGUGCAUAAUGAAUAAAUGUCGAGUGAACAGCCAAUUCCCAGAGUCCUUAACAAUUCCACUCACACAGGACCUCUAGACGCAAACUACAACGCAAACAAUAAAUGCGAGUUCAGUGUAAAUGUUAUAAAUAACUAAAGUAACCGAGCAAAAGUACGACAUAAAAAUAAUAAUAAUAAUAAUAAUAAUACGCCAUACAGUUUACACAAUACUCCAAUGUAAUUCGAAUUCUAAUUUCAAAUAUACAAACAUAAAGUGAAAUGGCAGACUAGCAAAAUAUACUGUGCGUAUGCGUAAUAAAAUAAAUUGAUAUAUAUAUAUAUAUAUAAAUAUAUAUAGAUACAUAUAAAUGGAAACACCGGGGGCAAGCCAUCCGUUUGCCCCCGCAUGUCGUUCUCUGUCUCUGUCACUCUGGACAAAACCAAACUGAUUGUUUUUAAGCAAAGUUAGAUUUAUAAAUAAAUUAAAUUUAAAAACGAAUGAGAAAACGCAAACUUAAAAGUGAAAUACAUUAAAAACUAAGUCGAAACUACUGAGUGUGUUAAUAAUAAUAAUAAUAAUAAUACCGAAUACUGAAUAAAUAAACAAGA
RNA transcript from Drosophila eugracilis, 6373 nucleotides. It is a transcript of the gene named nephrin, with no coding region annotated. The record is from RefSeq and is a predicted model, not a curated record. Lineage: Eukaryota; Metazoa; Arthropoda; Insecta; Diptera; Drosophilidae. The transcript is spliced from 18 exons.